This is a transfer RNA of Ipomoea nil (Japanese morning glory), 72 nucleotides long. It matches the Rfam family "tRNA". From Rfam's summary of the family: Transfer RNA (tRNA) molecules are approximately 80 nucleotides in length. Their secondary structure includes four short double-helical elements and three loops (D, anti-codon, and T loops). The record is from Rfam. NCBI's taxonomy places the organism in Eukaryota, Viridiplantae, Streptophyta, Magnoliopsida, Solanales, Convolvulaceae.
GGGCAUUUGGUCUAGUGGUAUGACUCUCGCUUUAGAUGCGAGAGGUCCCGAGGUUGAAUCUUGGAAUGCCUC